UAAUUUAUCUCUGUGUUCUUCCUUUUUGACUAUUUGGUGGCGGCUGUGGCGUUGAUUAUAAAUCGUUCCUGAGCUAUGCGGUUAACUGAAACUAUUUUCUGUUGCCGUUUUUUUGGUUUUCUCAGUCAGGGUUCAUUAAAAAUCUCAUUUUUGUUAGAACGACUAGAGAUCAGGCACGGUUUUGUCCAACUUUGUCUGUGGGUAAACAUAAAUCAAAUAAAAGUCAAGAGGCAUCUGGUACGACCCACCUCAAAUUCCAGUCGAAUGUCUUAUUAAGUCAAGUGGUGAAAUAGUGAAAUACCAGAGAAGAAUUGCUGAAGUCAUCGAUCCUCUACAUCCUAGUUCGAGAUGUGUUUGAACAUCGAAGGUAGGCCUAACGACGGCGGUCAAAUGUGAAUUGCUUCGAACGUCGGGUCAUUAAACAAUUGAUUAGGUGACUUUGUCCAGCCAGCGAAAUGUGACCGGUGAUAUUGACGCCAUACCAUAUACUGCCUGACAAGAGUUAAUAUUUGCUAACGUUCAAGUGCUCAUUAUAUUGACUUAUAGCCUACUAACACAAACAGAAAUCACUUGAAACGCGCGUGUCGGCUCGUGUUGACAAUAGAAAUCGUUUGGAUGUUGAUAAGGGAACGAGGAAACGAUACGGUGAAUGAACCUACCACUCAGCAAAUGAAAAUAAUCAUAUUUCCCUGAUUUAUCUGAGCACACUACCGGUCUAGCUUAAGCGUCAAUCAUGUAUCGGUUAUCGAGCAUAGCUUCACUGAAUAUAAAAGCUCGGCUGCACGUCUAUGGAGUAUCAGUUCUCUCUUCAUUUGACUCCAGUUGGUGCAUAGAGAUCCUUUACCAACCCGGUAACUUAAAGCCAAACACAAAGAAGCGCCGUUUUAUUUUAAGAACUGAAAAUGAAGUUGGCAAUGAUCUUCCUGUCCAUAUUUGUGGCCAUUUCCCAUCAGCAAUAUUUUCAUCCGCGGAUGAUGUUCGGGUUCCCUUGGAUGUCACCGUUUGCUCAACAACCCAUGCCCAUCUACAAUUACAAUGAGGAGGUAUACCCUGAGCCGAUGGGAUUGAGCAGUCGCAAUGACAUCGGUCAAGAUGACGAAUUUAACGAUAUCCAAUCAAGAAUCAAGGGCUUUAGCAGCAACUUUAACGGCUUGAGCCGCUACCGACCGAGUCCCUCUCUCAAUGACCAACAGAGCGCGCGAUUUUUUUUCAACUGGGCCAACACGGGCAACAACGCUAACAACAACAACUUCAACAAUUACAAUCCGUUUUUCAAAACAGCGACGUUCACUCUCACUUCGACGCUGACCUUGGCUUCCAUCCAGACUUGCGUCCCAUCAUUUCAGGUGACACCUGCUGCUCCUGCUUGUCGUCGCAAGAGAAGUGAAAUCGAAGAUAACACCGCAGAGCAAUUUCCAAUCAC
This is a long non-coding RNA of Daphnia pulex (common water flea), 1423 nucleotides long. RefSeq lists it as uncharacterized. The record is from RefSeq and is a predicted model, not a curated record. NCBI's taxonomy places the organism in Eukaryota, Metazoa, Arthropoda, Branchiopoda, Diplostraca, Daphniidae. The transcript has 3 exons.